GCCAGUGUGGCUCAGUGGGUAGAGUGUCGGCCCAAGGAAUGAAGACUCGCAGGUUCCAUUCCGGUCAAUGGCA
This 73-nucleotide transfer RNA is filed under the name Myotis brandtii (Brandt's bat). It matches the Rfam family "tRNA". Rfam says of the family: Transfer RNA (tRNA) molecules are approximately 80 nucleotides in length. Their secondary structure includes four short double-helical elements and three loops (D, anti-codon, and T loops). The record is from Rfam by way of RNAcentral. Lineage: Eukaryota; Metazoa; Chordata; Mammalia; Chiroptera; Vespertilionidae.